GAACGCUGGCGGCGUGCUACUACAUGCUAUCAUCGAACGAGUUUGCUUUUAAUGAAGGCGGUGCUUGCACCAACUGAUUUAAAAAUAAACGAGUGGCGGACGGGUGAGUAACACGUGGGUAACCUACCCUAAAGUGGGGGAUAACAUUUGGAAACAGAUGCUAAUACCGCAUAAUAUUAAAAACCACAUGGUUUUUAAUUGAAAGACGGCGUAAGCUGUCACUUUUGGAUGGACCCGCGGCGUAUUAGCUAGUUGGUGAGGUAACGGCUCACCAAGGCGAUGAUACGUAGCCGACCUGAGAGGGUGAUCGGCCACAUUGGGACUGAGACACGGCCCAAACUCCUACGGGAGGCAGCAGUAGGGAAUCUUCCACAAUGGACGAAAGUCUGAUGGUGCAACGCCGCGUGAGUGAAGAAGGUUUUCGGAUCGUAAAACUCUGUUAUUGGACGAAGAACGUAUUUGGUAGUAACUGGCCAGAUAGUGACGGUAUCCAAUCAGAAAGCCACGGCCUAACUUACGUGCCAGCAGCCG
RNAcentral lists this ribosomal RNA (531 nucleotides) under uncultured bacterium. RNAcentral describes it as "bacterial SSU rRNA". It matches the Rfam family "Bacterial small subunit ribosomal RNA", at positions 31 to 517 of the family's 1533-position model. The record is from RNAcentral.